CGUGUAGGCGGUCUGGUUAGUCUGAUGUGAAAGCCCUGGGCUCAACCCAGGAAGUGCAUUGGAUACUGUCAGACUUGAAUACGGGAGAGGGUAGUGGAAUUCCUAGUGUAGGAGUGAAAUCCGUAGAUAUUAGGAGGAACACCGGUGGCGAAGGCGGCUACCUGGACCGAUAUUGACGCUGAGACGCGAAAGCGUGGGUAGCAAACAGGAUUAGAUACCCUGGUAGUCCACGCCGUAAACGAUGAGUACUAGGUGUUGCGGGUAUUGACCCCUGCAGUGCCGCAGCUAACGCAUUAAGUACUCCGCCUGGGAAGUACGGUCGCAAGACUAAA
RNAcentral lists this ribosomal RNA (332 nucleotides) under uncultured bacterium. RNAcentral's name for it is "bacterial SSU rRNA". It matches the Rfam family "Bacterial small subunit ribosomal RNA", at positions 568 to 898 of the family's 1533-position model. The record is from RNAcentral.